GGAAAGUUGAAAAGAACUUUGAAGAGAGAGUUCAAAAGGGCGUGAAACCGCUUAGAGGAAAACGGACGGAGCCGUCAGGGGCCCUCGGGAAUCAGUCUGUCGAUACGCGAAUAUGUCGUAGUUCCAGAGCGCAAGUCUGGCUGCGGUAUAAAGUAGCGUUCGUAAGGCGCAUUUCUCGGGGGUAAGCACUGCGACCGAUACGAAAGGCCGAUAUAUCGCCCGGUUUGAGGGCGAGUCCCUUCGCGGGGACUCGUAACCAGUCCGGGCGUUUGAUUGUCGGACCGCAGUAUGUAUCGAGAACUCUGAUAUACACCGGCGUAAACGCGCGCUCUGUAAUGGAUAGUCGGUCAAUAAGCUGGUACCUGUUCGCAGGUGCUGGCCUGUUCGAUUCGGCUUUGAAGUUGCGAGCGACAUACGGUCGUAUAGGAUUCGGCAGUGUCAGUGUCGGCCACCCGUCCGACCCGUCUUGAAACACGGACCAAGGAGUCUAACAUAUGCGCGAGCCAAUGGGCGGAAAACCCAAAGGCGCAAUAAAAGUAAAAGCUGUUUCGGACAGCCGAGGUACGAUCCUAUCGUAAUUGGUAGGCGCAGUACCGUCCCGUCCCGACCGCAUAUCGGUAGGGCGGAGAUAGAGUGCAUACGUUGGGACCCGAAAGAUGGUGAACUAUGCCUGAGCAGAGCGAAGCCAGAGGAAACUCUGGUGGAGGUUCGUAGCGGUUCUGACGUGCAAAUCGAUCGUCAGACUUGGGUAUAGGGGCGAAAGACUAAUCGAACCAUCUAGUACGUG
Molecule: ribosomal RNA, 787 nt
Filed under: Calcaridorylaimus castaneae
Lineage: Eukaryota; Metazoa; Nematoda; Enoplea; Dorylaimida; Dorylaimidae
Description: eukaryotic LSU rRNA
Rfam family: Eukaryotic large subunit ribosomal RNA
Source: RNAcentral